GGGCGCAGUGAGGAAAUUUGGACAAUGGGAGCAAUCCUGAUCCAGCCAUGCCGCGUGCAGGAAGACUGCCCUAUGGGUUGUAAACUGCUUUUAUACAGGAAGAAAAAGGUGUACGUGUACACUGUUGACGGUACUGUAAGAAUAAGGAUCGGCUAACUCCGUGCCAGCAGCCGCGGUAAUACGGAGGAUCCAAGCGUUAUCCGGAAUCAUUGGGUUUAAAGGGUCCGUAGGCGGGAUGAUAAGUCAGUGGUGAAAGUCUGCAGCUCAACUGUAGAAUUGCCAUUGAUACUGUUGUUCUUGAGUUAUUGUGAAGUGGUUAGAAUGAGUAGUGUAGCGGUGAAAUGCAUAGAUAUUACUCAGAAUACCGAUUGCGAAGGCAGAUCACUAACAAUGAACUGACGCUGAUGGACGAAAGCGUAGGUAGCGAAACAGGAUUAGAUACCCUGGUAGUCUAGCGCCGUAAAGCGAUGGUUACUAGCUGUUCGGCCUAAUUGUGGUCUGAGUGGCUAAGCGAAAGUGAUAAGUAC
RNAcentral lists this ribosomal RNA (527 nucleotides) under uncultured bacterium. RNAcentral describes it as "bacterial SSU rRNA". It matches the Rfam family "Bacterial small subunit ribosomal RNA", at positions 347 to 867 of the family's 1533-position model. The record is from RNAcentral.